This 484-nucleotide ribosomal RNA is filed under the name uncultured bacterium. RNAcentral describes it as "partial 16S ribosomal RNA". It matches the Rfam family "Bacterial small subunit ribosomal RNA", at positions 30 to 507 of the family's 1533-position model. The record is from RNAcentral.
AUUGAACGCUGGCGGCAGGCCUAACACAUGCAAGUCGAGCGGAUGAAGGGAGCUUGCUCCUGGAUUCAGCGGCGGACGGGUGAGUAAUGCCUAGGAAUCUGCCUGGUAGUGGGGGAUAACGUCCGGAAACGGGCGCUAAUACCGCAUACGUCCUGAGGGAGAAAGUGGGGGAUCUUCGGACCUCACGCUAUCAGAUGAGCCUAGGUCGGAUUAGCUAGUUGGUGGGGUAAAGGCCUACCAAGGCGACGAUCCGUAACUGGUCUGAGAGGAUGAUCAGUCACACUGGAACUGAGACACGGUCCAGACUACUACGGGAGGCAGCAGUGGGGAAUAUUGGACAAUGGGCGAAAGCAUGAUACAGCAAUGCCGCGUGUGUGAAGAAGGUCUUCGGAUUGUAAAGCACUUUAAGUUGGGAGGAAGGGAAGUAAGUGAAUACCUUGCUGUUUUGACGUUAACAACAGAAUAAGCACCGGCUAACUUCGUG